GUCUAUGGCCAUACCAUCCUGAACAUGCCCGAUCUUGUCUGAUCUCAGAAGCUAAGCAGGAUUGGGCCUGGUUAGUACUUGGAUGGGAGACCAUCAAGGAAUAUCAGGUGCUGUAGGCA
RNAcentral lists this ribosomal RNA (119 nucleotides) under Pteropus alecto (black flying fox). Lineage: Eukaryota; Metazoa; Chordata; Mammalia; Chiroptera; Pteropodidae. RNAcentral also lists the same sequence under 1 other name. The record is from RNAcentral.